RNAcentral lists this long non-coding RNA (270 nucleotides) under Podarcis lilfordi (Lilford's wall lizard). Lineage: Eukaryota; Metazoa; Chordata; Lepidosauria; Squamata; Lacertidae. The record is from RNAcentral.
CCUCCUGGGCAUAGUCGGCCAAUCAGUGUUAAAGAAGGACAGAACUUUCUUUAUGUAUGCUACAACAGCAGCAAGAAUACUUAUUGCAAAGCAUUGGAAGACACAAGAUCUACCCACACUGGAGGAAUGGCAGAUGAAAAUGAUGGACUACAUGGAAUUGGCGGAAAUGACUGGCAGAAUCCGAGACCAGGGAGAAGAGUCGGUGGAAGAAGAUUGGAAGAAAUUUAAAGACUACUUACAGAAAUAUUGUAAAAUUAAUGAAUGUUAGAA